GACGGAGGAUGCAAGUGUUAUCCGGAAUCACUGGGCGUAAAGCGUCUGUAGGUGGUUUAAUAAGUCAACUGUUAAAUCUUGAAGCUCAACUUCAAAAUCGCAGUCGAAACUAUUAGACUUGAGUAUAGUAGGGGUAAAGGGAAUUUCCAGUGGAGCGGUGAAAUGCGUAGAGAUUGGAAAGAACACCGAUGGCGAAGGCACUUUACUGGGCUAUUACUGACACUCAGAGACGAAAGCUAGGGUAGCAAAUGGG
This 253-nucleotide ribosomal RNA is filed under the name uncultured bacterium. Its description in RNAcentral is "partial 16S ribosomal RNA". It matches the Rfam family "Bacterial small subunit ribosomal RNA", at positions 524 to 776 of the family's 1533-position model. The record is from RNAcentral.